GCCGGUGACCAUGGCGAGGGGGACCCACCCGUUCCCAUUCCGAACACGGAAGUUAAGCCCCUCAGCGGUGAUGGUACUGCCGGGGCAACCCGGUGGGAGAGUAGCUCGUCGCCGGCA
Molecule: ribosomal RNA, 117 nt
Filed under: Bacillota bacterium
Lineage: Bacteria; Bacillati; Bacillota
Source: RNAcentral